Beta vulgaris subsp. vulgaris (sugar beet) is the source of this 1275-nucleotide long non-coding RNA. RefSeq lists it as uncharacterized. The record is from RefSeq and is a predicted model, not a curated record. The transcript is spliced from 2 exons. NCBI's taxonomy places the organism in Eukaryota, Viridiplantae, Streptophyta, Magnoliopsida, Caryophyllales, Amaranthaceae.
CUUACCAACAAUAAAAGCUAAAUAAAACAAUACCGUCUCCCCGGCAACGGCGCCAAAGUUUGAUAGGUUGUCGUACACCCGUCAAAGAUAAUUCCUGCAAAACCUUCUAACAAUGUAGUAGGGUAAGUAGGGUCGAAUCCACAGAGAGAUGGUCGUUUUAAUCUAGCUUCUAAGAUGGAGAAACUAAACAAGAUCAGGAAUAAUUAAAUUAAAGUUCUAAACUAAUCAAACUACGAAAAUCAAACUAAAAAGGAUCUAGGGUAAUGGUUCACCAUGUUUAUACUUAUAAACUAUCAAAAUAUCUUCACAGUUCAAUCAAUCAGAUAUCUAGAGCACAGGUUAUCCUUGGUCAGGCAUUAACGUUCUCAAAUCAACAUAUGCUAGUACGGUCGCUCAACAUAAUCAGAUUUGCUAAUUGUAGGUAAACCUCUAAAGAGUACUAUCUCUCGAUCUAUGACUCUAUAUUAGCAAUAUUUAAUCAGACAAUUGAUCAGAUUGCAAGAUUAACAACAAAACACUAAUCAAUUAGAGAAAUCAAUAAUUAAUCAAACCAUGAAUAAAUAUCAAUCAAUAAUCAUAUCAUAUAAACAUGGAUUCCCAAAACCCUAGAAAUAAAAACUACUCUAUCAUGAAAUAAAUAAUGAAAUCUAAAUCUACCAAGAAAAGCAUAAUGAAAGAAAUCAAGGAAAGAAACUAAAGGAACCAGGGGCGGAUCUAGCGUGGGUUCAGCUGAACCCACAAAAUUUUGGAAAAAAAACAAAGAAAAAUCUGCAAAAAAAAAUAAAAAUAAAAAUAGGUUAAAUAGAAGUAGCAGCAUAACAUUUAGGAUAGAAGGUGAAUGGUUUAGUGGUUCCGCGUGUUGUCAUUAAACUUUCGAGCCUGGCGACCUGAGUUCGAAACUUCUGCCCCCUUUUUUUUUGAAAUUUUAUUUUCCUCAAUAACUUACUCUUUAGUUUUUUCUGACACUCUCUAAUUCUCUCUCCUCUUUUCUCACUUCUCACACAACCUAGGUCCUAGCGUUUAGACGACCACUUUCACGGCGACACGGCGUCGGCAGUCACUGUCGGGCGGCGACCUCUCUCCUUCCGACGAGGCAACGACGCACGACAGUCGACUCUUCGCACACUCGUAGUCCGCAUACGCACGAACACGAAGGCAUUCGAAUUUCUCUUCUGCCACUGCCACGAAGCCAUUCUAACUUAUUUAGGAUGAAAAGUUUUGGAACAUUUUUGGCAGUGAUGAUGAUGUAUUAGAAUGCUUUUAAAAUAUGAAAAC